ACUACUGUGGUGCCAGCAGCUCUGAGAGGAGGGGAUUUAAUCAGAUCCCCUAUUUCAGGGCAUGCUGCUUUAGUAUUAAGAGAAACAAACCAAUUUCUUAAGUGGAAAUCCUGAACAGCAAAGAGAUCUUUCCAUGAAUGUUCUCAUUAGGAAUGACGGGGGUUUUUUGGAAGUCCUGCCAAUUCUUCGAGGAGGCCACGAUUAAGACAAGAUGGUUCAGCUACACACAUCCAAACACCUGGGGAACAGCUGCCGUGCAGCGGCUGAGGCAACACUCAAGGUGUUCUCGAUCCUUCUCGAUCCUGAGAGCAGGGCAAGCGCGUCAGAGGCCCUUGAGCUCCCGUUCUUCAGCGAGUUCAGAGAUGUGGAGGAGGAGACUGAGGCGCUGCCAUACGAUCAGACAAUAGACAACACAGACCUGCCGCUGGAACAGUGGAAACGUGAGAGAGGACACUCCAUUCCAUACAUUUUGCUUGCUGUAGUAACUUAGAUGUAAUGAACCAGCAUCCUUCAGUUUAAACUGUUGUGAUUUGUCCCAACAUUG
Girardinichthys multiradiatus is the source of this 544-nucleotide long non-coding RNA. RefSeq lists it as uncharacterized. Lineage: Eukaryota; Metazoa; Chordata; Actinopteri; Cyprinodontiformes; Goodeidae. The transcript is spliced from 3 exons. The record is from RefSeq and is a predicted model, not a curated record.